Molecule: ribosomal RNA, 389 nt
Filed under: uncultured organism
Description: bacterial SSU rRNA
Rfam family: Bacterial small subunit ribosomal RNA
Source: RNAcentral
CGGAGGGUGCGAGCGUUGUCCGGAAUCAUUGGGCGUAAAGGGCGCGUAGGUGGCCCGGUCAGUCUUUGGUGAAAGCGCGGGGCUCAACCCUGCGUCGGCCAGGGAUACUGCCGCGGCUGGAGCACUGUAGAGGCAGGCGGAAUUCCGGGUGUAGCGGUGGAAUGCGUAGAGAUCCGGAAGAACACCGGUGGCGAAGGCGGCCUGCUGGGCAGUAGCCGAAAGGCUUUCAAGCUGACACUGAGGCGCGACAGCGUGGGGAGCAAACAGGAUUAGAUACCCUGGUAGUCCACGCCGUAAACGAUGGGCACUAGGCGCUUGGGGGAGCGACCCCCCGAGGGCCGGCGCUAACGCAUUAAGUGCCCCGCCUGGGGAGUACGGCCGCAAGGCUG